GGGUUGUGAGGUUAAGCGACUAAGCGUACACGGUGGAUGCCCUGGCAGUCAGAGGCGAUGAAGGACGUGCUAAUCUGCGAUAAGCGUCGGUAAGGUGAUAUGAACCGUUAUAACCGGCGAUUUCCGAAUGGGGAAACCCAGUGUGUUUCGACACACUAUCAUUAACUGAAUCCAUAGGUUAAUGAGGCGAACCGGGGGAACUGAAACAUCUAAGUACCCCGAGGAAAAGAAAUCAACCGAGAUUCCCCCAGUAGCGGCGAGCGAACGGGGAGCAGCCCAGAGCCUGAAUCAGUGUGUGUGUUAGUGGAAGCGUCUGGAAAGGCGCGCGAUACAGGGUGACAGCCCCGUACACAAAAAUGCACAUGCUGUGAGCUCGAUGAGUAGGGCGGGACACGUGGUAUCCUGUCUGAAUAUGGGGGGACCAUCCUCCAAGGCUAAAUACUCCUGACUGACCGAUAGUGAACCAGUACCGUGAGGGAAAGGCGAAAAGAACCCCGGCGAGGGGAGUGAAAAAGAACCUGAAACCGUGUACGUACAAGCAGUGGGAGCACGCUUAGGCGUGUGACUGCGUACCUUUUGUAUAAUGGGUCAGCGACUUAUAUUCUGUAGCAAGGUUAACCGAAUAGGGGAGCCGAAGGGAAACCGAGUCUUAACUGGGCGUUAAGUUGCAGGGUAUAGACCCGAAACCCGGUGAUCUAGCCAUGGGCAGGUUGAAGGUUGGGUAACACUAACUGGAGGACCGAACCGACUAAUGUUGAAAAAUUAGCGGAUGACUUGUGGCUGGGGGUGAAAGGCCAAUCAAACCGGGAGAUAGCUGGUUCUCCCCGAAAGCUAUUUAGGUAGCGCCUCGUGAAUUCAUCUCCGGGGGUAGAGCACUGUUUCGGCAAGGGGGUCAUCCCGACUUACCAACCCGAUGCAAACUGCGAAUACCGGAGAAUGUUAUCACGGGAGACACACGGCGGGUGCUAACGUCCGUCGUGAAGAGGGAAACAACCCAGACCGCCAGCUAAGGUCCCAAAGUCAUGGUUAAGUGGGAAACGAUGUGGGAAGGCCCAGACAGCCAGGAUGUUGGCUUAGAAGCAGCCAUCAUUUAAAGAAAGCGUAAUAGCUCACUGGUCGAGUCGGCCUGCGCGGAAGAUGUAACGGGGCUAAACCAUGCACCGAAGCUGCGGCAGCGACGCUUAUGCGUUGUUGGGUAGGGGAGCGUUCUGUAAGCCUGUGAAGGUGUGCUGUGAGGCAUGCUGGAGGUAUCAGAAGUGCGAAUGCUGACAUAAGUAACGAUAAAGCGGGUGAAAAGCCCGCUCGCCGGAAGACCAAGGGUUCCUGUCCAACGUUAAUCGGGGCAGGGUGAGUCGACCCCUAAGGCGAGGCCGAAAGGCGUAGUCGAUGGGAAACAGGUUAAUAUUCCUGUACUUGGUGUUACUGCGAAGGGGGGACGGAGAAGGCUAUGUUGGCCGGGCGACGGUUGUCCCGGUUUAAGCGUGUAGGCUGGUUUUCCAGGCAAAUCCGGAAAAUCAAGGCUGAGGCGUGAUGACGAGGCACUACGGUGCUGAAGCAACAAAUGCCCUGCUUCCAGGAAAAGCCUCUAAGCAUCAGGUAACAUCAAAUCGUACCCCAAACCGACACAGGUGGUCAGGUAGAGAAUACCAAGGCGCUUGAGAGAACUCGGGUGAAGGAACUAGGCAAAAUGGUGCCGUAACUUCGGGAGAAGGCACGCUGAUAUGUAGGUGAGGUCCCUCGCGGAUGGAGCUGAAAUCAGUCGAAGAUACCAGCUGGCUGCAACUGUUUAUUAAAAACACAGCACUGUGCAAACACGAAAGUGGACGUAUACGGUGUGACGCCUGCCCGGUGCCGGAAGGUUAAUUGAUGGGGUUAGCGCAAGCGAAGCUCUUGAUCGAAGCCCCGGUAAACGGCGGCCGUAACUAUAACGGUCCUAAGGUAGCGAAAUUCCUUGUCGGGUAAGUUCCGACCUGCACGAAUGGCGUAAUGAUGGCCAGGCUGUCUCCACCCGAGACUCAGUGAAAUUGAACUCGCUGUGAAGAUGCAGUGUACCCGCGGCAAGACGGAAAGACCCCGUGAACCUUUACUAUAGCUUGACACUGAACAUUGAGCCUUGAUGUGUAGGAUAGGUGGGAGGCUUAGAAGUGUGGACGCCAGUCUGCAUGGAGCCGACCUUGAAAUACCACCCUUUAAUGUUUGAUGUUCUAACGUUGACCCGUAAUCCGGGUUGCGGACAGUGUCUGGUGGGUAGUUUGACUGGGGCGGUCUCCUCCUAAAGAGUAACGGAGGAGCACGAAGGUUGGCUAAUCCUGGUCGGACAUCAGGAGGUUAGUGCAAUGGCAUAAGCCAGCUUGACUGCGAGCGUGACGGCGCGAGCAGGUGCGAAAGCAGGUCAUAGUGAUCCGGUGGUUCUGAAUGGAAGGGCCAUCGCUCAACGGAUAAAAGGUACUCCGGGGAUAACAGGCUGAUACCGCCCAAGAGUUCAUAUCGACGGCGGUGUUUGGCACCUCGAUGUCGGCUCAUCACAUCCUGGGGCUGAAGUAGGUCCCAAGGGUAUGGCUGUUCGCCAUUUAAAGUGGUACGCGAGCUGGGUUUAGAACGUCGUGAGACAGUUCGGUCCCUAUCUGCCGUGGGCGCUGGAGAACUGAGGGGGGCUGCUCCUAGUACGAGAGGACCGGAGUGGACGCAUCACUGGUGUUCGGGUUGUCAUGCCAAUGGCACUGCCCGGUAGCUAAAUGCGGAAGAGAUAAGUGCUGAAAGCAUCUAAGCACGAAACUUGCCCCGAGAUGAGUUCUCCCUGACCCUUUAAGGGUCCUGAAGGAACGUUGAAGACGACGACGUUGAUAGGCCGGGUGUGUAAGCGCAGCGAUGCGUUGAGCUAACCGGUACUAAUGAACCGUGAGGCUUAACCUUACAACGCCGAAGCUGUU
RNAcentral lists this ribosomal RNA (2930 nucleotides) under Escherichia coli. Its description in RNAcentral is "bacterial LSU rRNA". It matches the Rfam family "Bacterial large subunit ribosomal RNA". The record is from RNAcentral. Lineage: Bacteria; Pseudomonadati; Pseudomonadota; Gammaproteobacteria; Enterobacterales; Enterobacteriaceae.